AAUCAACGCUGGCGGCGUGCCUAAUACAUGCAAGUCGAACGAGGAAGUAUCUUCGGAUAUUGUACUAGUGGCGUACGGGUGAGUAACGCGUGGGAUAAUCUUCCUCUAAGUGGGGAAUAACCAGUCGAAAGGAUUGGCUAAAUACCGCAUAAGACCACAAGCUCUUUGGAAGCAAGGGGUUAAAGGCGAAAGCCGCUUGGAGAUGAGUCUGCGCCUGAUUAGCUAGUUGGUGAGGUAACGGCUCACCAAGGCGACGAUCAGUAGCUGGUCUGA
RNAcentral lists this ribosomal RNA (273 nucleotides) under uncultured bacterium. Its description in RNAcentral is "partial 16S ribosomal RNA". It matches the Rfam family "Bacterial small subunit ribosomal RNA", at positions 32 to 295 of the family's 1533-position model. The record is from RNAcentral.